AGCUCCAAUAGCGUAUAUUAAUGUUGUUGCAGUUAAAAAGCUCGUAGUUGGAUUCCUGACCUGGGGUAGCCGGUCCGCCUUGCAAAAGGUGCGCACUGAGCGGCCUCGGUCAUCCUUGAGAAGAGCGGUCCUGGCAUUCAGUUGUCGGGGUCGGGAUUCUCGACGUUUACUGUGAAAAAUUAGAGUGUUCAAAGCAGGCUUAUGCCGUUGAAUAUAUUAGCAUGGAAUAAUGAGAUAGGACCUUGGUCUAUUUUGUUGGUUAGUUUACCGAGGUAAUGAUUAAUAGGGACAGUUGGGGGUAUUCGUAUUCCAUUGUCAGAGGUGAAAUUCUUGGAUUUCUGGAAGACGAACUACUGCGAAAGCAUUUACCAAGGAUGUUUUCA
Molecule: ribosomal RNA, 383 nt
Filed under: uncultured eukaryote
Lineage: Eukaryota
Description: SSU rRNA
Rfam family: Eukaryotic small subunit ribosomal RNA
Source: RNAcentral